RNAcentral lists this long non-coding RNA (5876 nucleotides) under Sus scrofa (pig). Its description in RNAcentral is "lncRNA (ENSSSCG00005020588.1)". The record is from RNAcentral. Lineage: Eukaryota; Metazoa; Chordata; Mammalia; Artiodactyla; Suidae.
GAGUUCCUGGGCCAGGGAUCAGAUCCAAGCUGUAGUUGUGACCCACGCCAGAGCUAUGGCAACGUAUGCUCCCCCAACCUGAGCGUGCCAGGCUGGUUAUGGAACCUGCAUCCCAGCGCUGCAGAGACACUGCCUACGCUGCUGCGCCACAGUAGGAAUCCUCAAUCGCCAUUUAAAAAUGUUUCUCGGAGUUCCCGUCAUGGCUCAAUGGUUAACAAAUCCGACUAGGAACCAUGAGGUUGUGGGUUCGAUCCCUGGCCUUGCUCAGUGGUUUAAGGAUCCGGUGUUGCCGUGAGCUGUGGUGUAGGUCGAAGAUGUGGCUUGGAUCCCGAGUUGCUGUGGCUGUGGUGUAGGCCGGCGGCUACAGCUCUGAGACCCCUAGCCUGGGAACCUCCAUAUGCUGCGGAUGCGGCCCUAGAAAAGGCAGAAAGCCAAAAAAAAAAAAAGAAAGUGAUCAUUUGGAGUUCCCGUCGUGGCGCAGUGGUUAACGAAUCCGACUAGGAACCAUGAGGUUGCAGGUUCGGUCCCUGCCCUUGCUCAGUGGGUUAACGAUCCGGCGUUGCCGUGAGCUGUGGUGUAGGUUGCAGAUGCGGCUCGGAUCCCGAGUUGCUGUGGCUCUGGCGUAGGCCUGUGGCUACAGCUCCGAUUCAACCCCUAGCCUGGGAACCUCCAUAUGCGGCGGGAGCGGCCCAAGAAAUAGCAACAACAACAACAAAAAAAGACAAAAAAAAAAAAAAAAAUGUUUUUCCUCCUCACCCUUAAGGUGUUAACAUAUUAACAGAGCAUAUUAAGUACAGAAAACGGACACGGAAUUGUAAAGUAUUUCAGAGAAAAAGCACCUGCAACCUCAUCACCAAGAAGCAGCCACUGCUAGUGUGCUGGUCCACUGCUGGCCUGUUUCCUGUCAAUCUUUUCAAGGCCUGUGUGCACGUUAUGUCAUUAUUUAAGAAUGGGAAUUGAGGUGACAAUAUUCAGAGCAAGAGGCAGGUGCCUCAAUCAAAAGCCUAGAGGCCAGAAAAAAUGAAACUGGUGGCCUGUGAAAGGCUGAUGGGUACAGUGACAUGACAGCACAUGGGGAGUUCCCAUCGUGGCUCAGUGGAAAUGAAUCUGACUGGCAUCCAUGAGGACACAGGUUUGAUUCCCAGCCUCGCUCAGUGGGUUAAGAAUCCCAUGCUGCCGUGAGCUGUGGUGUAGGUCGCAGGCGUGACUCGGAUCAGGCGUUGCUGUGGCUGUGGUGUAGGCUGGUGAUCACAACUCCAAUUCGACCCCCAGCCUGGGAACCUCCAUAUGCUGCGUGUGAGGCCCUUAAACAACAAAAGAAAAAAAAAAUGGCAGCACGUAAUUCAGGUUUUACUGAAUAUCGGGCCCCAACCAAACAAGGUUUUGUGUGGGCUGUGGCCUGGGGGUCUGCAGUUUAGAGCUGCCGACCUGGGGCUGACGCUGUCCUUCCACACUGCUGUUUCACAAGCAUCUGCCUUCACCAACAGCCUCCAAAAGCAUAUAGUUUUCAAUUUCCAUCAUGUGGACGUGCCGUCAUUUACAGUCACUGUCUGCUGUGGCCUUUCCAGAAGGUUUCCAGUGGUCCCUUACUAAGCGCUGGGCUUUGGGUUAAAUGAGCCCCAACUACUACCUGACGUCAUGCUGCGCCCCCAUGGUGGCUAUUCGCUAAAAAGCAAACCUACCUCGGAGUUCCCGUCAUGGCGCAGUGGUUAACGAAUCCAACUAGGAACCAUGAGGUUGUGGGUUCGAUCCCUGGCCUUGCUCAGUGGGUUAAGGAUCUGGUGUUGAUGUGAGCUGUGGUGUAGGUUGCAGAUGCGGCUCGGAUCCUGCGUUGCUGUGGCUCAGGCGUAGGCCGGUGGCUACAGCUCCGAUUAGACCCCUAGCCUGGGAAUCUCCAUAUGCUGUGAGAGCAGCCCAAGAAAUGGCAAAAUGAAAAAAAAAAAAAAAAAAAAAAAAGCAAACCUACCUCUUCUUUGGGAGCUUAAUUUUCGCAAUGUAGCUCAGACAGUAGUUGAUUAAAUCUUGAAUCAGGGCCUCACCCAGGUGACCUUGAAUAUUCUAGAUGAAGAAAACACGGCAGUUACUUGACACAUGGUGGGAGGCAUCUUCAAAAUGCCUCUACAGCAAACCCAGGUCCUCAGCCGCGACGGGGUGGCGGGUCUCCGGGCCGGGCCACCCGCGCAGACAGGACACGGCCUCCUGCCCUGCUCCUUCUCUCCGCUGAAGACCUUAGGCGAACCAGGAAGGGCUUUAGUCAAAAGCAUCUUCCGCUUCGUUAUCAAGAUUUUUGUAUCCAUCACCUCUCAAGUGCUUCCUGGAAGCCCGCAAGAGUUUAUCGCCGCUGCUUUUAUUCAAUUAAAACAUCCACAGACACGGAGAGAAAAUGUGUUUGUCCCACUCUGGCCUCCUCUCAUGUCCAAAUGGAACGAUCUUAAUGGUAAUAAGAGCUGCACAGCUCUUAAAGAUGCCCGUGGCAAGGCCGCCCGCCCAAGUCCCUGCUGCCUGCCGGAAGGAUGAGAUUGCCGAUCCUUAAGAACAACUAUACACAUUGAGUUCCAAUGUGGAAGGUGUAACAGUCACAUGGCCUAGCAUCCAAAAUGCAGAGGUGCAGACUCGUGGCCACUCAGCUCCCACACAGGCCGCCCUGGGGCAGUCAGUGUCAAAGACCUUCGUAGAAGACACUUCGCAAGCAGCACGGAGCAGCUGGGAGGUGGAGAACUUACCUGUUUAGACACGAGUUUCCCAUCUUUGUAUGCUACCAAGCCAUUUUCUGGAAACACGUAAUCGUAUUUUUCAACCACUGCAAAGCAAAGAAUAUUGAGAACACAACGCACAGAAUCCUGUGUUUCUAUUUCUUAACACUCAUCGCCAAUAAAACUGCUCACCUCCAGAAAGGACUAUGAGAGGCUCUCUCAUCCAAACUGACUGGGAGAGUGGAAAAAAAGCUCCUUAAAAACUUCUUUUAAGAGGGCUCUUUAAAGAGCCCCCGCUGGGGCGCAGUGGGUUAAGGAUCUGGCUUGUCUCUGUGGCAUUGUGGGUUUGAUGCCCAGCCUGGCCCGGUGCACAGGGUUAAGGAGCCAGUGGGGCAUAGGUGGCAUAGGCAGCUGGGAUCUGAUCGCUGGCCUGGGAAUUUGCAUAAGGGUGGGUGCAGCCGGAAAAGAAAAAAAGGGAGGGGGGAUUCUCUAACAUAAAUUUAAAAGAUGAGGGAGUUCCCUAGUGGCCUAGCACUUAAGGAUCUGGUGGUGUCACUGCUGUGGUGAGGAUCUAAGCCCUGGCCCAGACACUUCCACAUGCCGUGGCUGAAAAUAAAGAAAGAAAGGAACAGAGGUGACAACGAGGCUGCAGACUGGACAGUCGGUGCUGGGUCCCCUCCCCCUGCAGCUCAUCUAGAAAGGAAAAUGGGCUCCCAAUGACGGCUCCCAACCCACUAAGAAUGUGCCUCAGCAGGGCAGCUGUGUGCAGCACAAUUCCAGAUUCUGCUCUCAAGCUUUCUUCCUUCCUUUUUAAAAUUUUUGGCCACGCCUGCAGCAUAUGGAGGUUCCCAGGCCAGGGACCGAAUCCAAGCUGCAUCGCGGAACCACUGGAUCCUCAACCCACUGCACCACAGCAGGGACUCCUCGAGGUUUCCAAAUCAGAAUCUGUAGGGCCAGAUGAGCAAUGAGGUUGUUUUUUUUUACAUGCAUUCAGAUUUGGAGACCACCGACAUAAAUCUUAACCGAGUCUCAAACUUCAGGCCCUUGUUAAAAGGCGGCACUGUCUGUUGGGUGAGGCCCCCGCAUCUGUAUUGUAAUGAGCUCUCCGGGUGAUUCCGAGAUUCCGACACGGGCGGGGGUGCGGGUGACACUUUCUUCUGGCUUGCAACUGUCUUGAUUCUGAGGCUUUGACUCAUACUCACUGAGAUGUGAGACCCUGGCCUACUCUGACAAAGCCUGAGUCUGUGGUGCAGUAUAGGACCAGAGGCAGAAAAGGUGAUCAGGAGCAGGCAACAGAAUUUCCAGGGCUUAAGGUGCUCCAUGCUGUUGCUCACAGUGUUUCUGCAGAGCACCUCCAGGGAAAACUACACGUGAAUGAAACAGAGUUUGAAAGGGACUCUGCAGAUGACUCUUUUGGUAACUGAUCCAAAACACACACCCUACGCAAGUGGACUGCAAGACAGCACAUCUAGAGCGGUGGUUCUCACUGGCGGGGACUGUGAUCCCUGGAGGACACCUGGCAGUGUCUGGAGAUAUUUUUGGUUGUCACCAUGGGUCUGGGGGCUCUACUGGCAUCAAGUGAGUAGAGGCCAAGCAUGCUGCUAAACACCCUACCAUGCACAGCACAGCCCCCGAUGACAGGGGGUGGUCUGGCCCCAAAUAAUUAAGGCCCCCACAGAAUGAACAACCUAUCUCUCCACCCACUAUUUUUUUUAAAGGCACUUAAUCUAUUUUUCUUUUUUUCUACCCAGUUAGGUGGAGGGUUUCCUGCCCUUUUUUGGAGGUUUAACUUCUCAUGCCAGCUCUCAGGAGUCGUUCCGUGUGAACUGUUCUGAAUGGAGAUGUGGUUUUGUUUGAUGUGUUUGUGGGAGAAGAUGAGCAUGAUGUCUUACUCCUCUGCUAUCUUGAUCCUUUCUUGGAUCUAUUUCUAAAGAAAGUUAAUCUGCUAGAUAUGUUGCCAGGAUCGACUAUCACCCACUAUUUCUUUUAAAAUUUUUGGUCACGCCCAAGGCCUGUGGAAAUUCCUGGGCCAGGGACUGGACCCAAGCUGCUGCAGUGACAAUGCUGGCCCCUUAGCCCGCUGUGCCACAAGAUAACUCCUUUUACCCACUAUUUCUUAAAGGCCAGGCACCGUGGAGAUGAAUAAUCCACAGUCCACGUCUUCUAACCAGUUUGCAGUCAUCAGAGAGUGCUACGCCAGCAGGCUUGUACAUCAGAAUCUCUUGAAAGUAGCUGCUGAAGUACAAUUCCAAGGCCUUGCAGCCCUACUGAGUCAGAAUCUCCAGUGAAGGGCAAAUAAGAACCUCCAGCUUCCUGGGGUCCUGGGCUAGAGAUGCCGGUUCACUAGGCAGGGAAGGAGCCCGGGUGACUCAAGACUAAGGACCUCCUGGGAGACUGAGGUCGGGCAACGGGGUUGGGGGGGGUGGGGGGGCGUGAAGACCCAGAGCUGACACCUCAACACCUGGGUGGGAAGGAGGCAGGAGGCUCGACGGGUGGUGAAUAGGGAUUGGCAAGAUGUUUUCCGGGCAGAGAAACACACAUCUUUCUAGGUGCAUUUAUCCGGGUACCUGAGUACCAACCGCUCCACUAGCAACUCCAGAAAUUAAUCUAUAGGAUUAAAAACAGGAACAAAAAAAGGCAGAGAAUAUAUUUCUCCAAACGAGAAAGCAGGACGCCUUGAGGAUGAUGGCGAGGGGCUGCCUCUGAUACUACGUGGCUCUAGGUCCCAGCAGCCUCAGAAGAAGCUAAUCUUUUACCAGAACGUAAUGAGCAAUGUGGAGUUUACCGUCGUUUCCCAGUUGCUCUUGUACUUUCUCAAAGUCCGACCCGCCCACGACGCCAAUUUUGAUCUUCUGCCUCAGUUCUUGUAGAAAGCAAUCCAUGUCUUCGGUAAUUUUCUGCAUUUCCAAAAGGAAAUAAAAGAGUGAAGAGCCACAAAAUAAUUGGGAGACUAAGACGGCAAGAGUAACAGAACCCUUGCCCUCCUCUCUGGCUGCCCGGCAGUGUACGGAGCUCCAAGACCAAGGAUCAGAUCCGAGCCACAGGUGCGACCUACACCACAGCUGCAGCAAGGCCGGAUCCCUGACCCACGGUGCCAGGCCAGGGAUGGAACCUGCGACUCCAUGCUCCAGAGAUGCCACUGAUCCUGUUGCACCACAGUGGGAACUCCAGAACCUGCACUUU